Molecule: long non-coding RNA, 1560 nt
Organism: Ctenopharyngodon idella (grass carp)
Lineage: Eukaryota; Metazoa; Chordata; Actinopteri; Cypriniformes; Xenocyprididae
Exons: 2
Source: RefSeq, a predicted model, not a curated record
GUUUGUUUUUCCCUUUUCACCCAGACCUGGCAGGCGAGAGGGGAGAGGGACAGGGUUUCAUGGUCAAAACAGGCAUAAUGAGUUCCAGACCUGAUGUCAUGCCGCAGCAAUGGAGAAAAAAAAAAACACAAACCACCAGAACGGGAAGCGAUAGUGCAGGCGGAGAGAAGUACCACUACUUCAUGCGAGCCAGAUGUUGUACAGAUGUGGCUUUUCAUGUCGGAAAACAGCCCAUUGCCAAUACAAGAAGGGGAAUAUUGUCUGAGCAAUGAUGGUAAAAUCUGCAAACACAGGAGAAAGAAAAGACAUUUCUGUGACCUUUUGUGGGGCUGUAAUAGUUUAUAAAGUGAGCUCAGCCAUUGCUAAACGGAGAAAAUAUGAAGCAGUCUUCCAAUAAAACCUCCCCCACCUCCUUUAUGACCUAUUCACUACACUUCUGUUGAAAACAUUCACUCGUCCAAACUCAUCUUUACAAAAGUUUUCUAACACAGACGGCAGGGACAGAGCCAACAUGACUGGUGUGAGUCGACCUGAACAAAGACUGAAGGACAAAGCCAUUUCAAAAAAGAAAAAACAGAAAGAGAGACGGAGAGAUUGCCACUGCAGACUGGAGAAGACCAAGCUGCAAAAAGUGAACAGAGAGAAUAAGAGAGGAAGUAAACAUAGCCCAGUUCUCAAGCAACAUUCCUCCCCCAAACCCAAAUAUGCAUGUAAAGGGAGGAGCAAUGGAGCUGAUUAGGAGAACACAGACAUGUUGAGUGAAAAGUGCUUUGUUUUUCAGAAAUUUAUUUUCUUUAAAUCUUAAUCUGGAGUGCAACAGAAAAGGAAAAGACAUUAGACAUUAGACAGAUCCAUGCAAUCAUAAAACAUGUGGUCAUAAUGACCAAAAUGGGCAAGAAACCGCACCAUUAAAGUCAUCCAUUCAACUUGUGCACUGAAUUCCUGUCUUGUCUACUGAAGCAAUAGAACAGCUUUGUGCAGAAAACAGCUUAAAAUGUACAUCUUUAUUCACUGAUAAUUACUUCAAAACUCAAAUCUAGCUUAGUUCUGCACUCGUUUCUUUCUGGUCUCAGCUUGCUCAUGACAUAUCAUUCGUGUUAGAUAAAGAUAUGGUUUUGACUCCAGAACUUUUCUUCCUAAGUAACUUCUCGGAAUUGCCAUUGUCUUCGCAACAGAGAAACUUACUUUUAGCUGCUUUCACUGCUGCUAAGAAAAUGUUAGUCAGUCGUUGGAUUCCUCCACAUACAAUGAGCAGGCAGGUAUGGCCCUUAUCUUUGCUGGACAUUAUUUCUUUGGAGCUGUUAACAGCUCGUAUUCAUGGAGCAAAGUCAAAAACUUUAAAGACUUGGAGUGCUACUUUUGAUGUUGUUAAAUCCUUUAUUUCUUCUUUUUGAUGUAAAAUUAUUUCUGUAUUUUAUAUCCAUGUAUUUUUUUUUUUUUUUUUUAAUGGUUGAUUAGGUACUUCACUAUACUUUUGUCACUGCUGUGUCUUGUAAUUUUUCAGCACAGUAUUUUUAUUUAAAUUUUUACUCAAUAAAAACAAUUGUUCACAAAAAAAAA